Molecule: microRNA precursor, 168 nt
Filed under: Oryza brachyantha (malo sina)
Lineage: Eukaryota; Viridiplantae; Streptophyta; Magnoliopsida; Poales; Poaceae
Description: MIR812 microRNA precursor family
Rfam family: MIR812 microRNA precursor family
Source: Rfam by way of RNAcentral
UACAAUAUUUUAACUCAUCGUCUUAUUUGAAAUUUUUUUGUGAUUAAUAUUUUUAUUGUUGCUAGAUAAUAAAAUAUAAAUAGUAUUUUAUACGUGACUAUUCCUUUUAAAGUUUUUUACAAUUUUUUCAAAUAAGACAAAUGGUCAAACGUUGGACACGGAAAAACA